This 200-nucleotide long non-coding RNA is filed under the name Physcomitrium patens. RNAcentral describes it as "long non-coding RNA (PPAT_LNC014272)". Lineage: Eukaryota; Viridiplantae; Streptophyta; Bryopsida; Funariales; Funariaceae. The record is from RNAcentral.
UAUGCCUAGGAUUCUUUUAUUAUUGUGCUUUUUUUCCUCUUAUAAUUCUUUUUAAUGGUCCUUUAUUAUUUUCAUCUCUCCUUUGUUUUUCUUCUAUUAAUACUUCAUGUUGACUCUUUGCAAUAUGAACAUGCACCAAUAAUCGAACUACUAGAUCAUUCCAUCCAAUAGAUUGUCAAACAUUAUUGCCAAUAUAUUUU